RNAcentral lists this transfer RNA (87 nucleotides) under Planctomycetota bacterium. RNAcentral's name for it is "tRNA-Ser". It matches the Rfam family "tRNA". Rfam says of the family: Transfer RNA (tRNA) molecules are approximately 80 nucleotides in length. Their secondary structure includes four short double-helical elements and three loops (D, anti-codon, and T loops). The record is from RNAcentral. Lineage: Bacteria; Pseudomonadati; Planctomycetota. RNAcentral also lists the same sequence under 2 other names.
GGAUGGGUGGCCGAGUGGUCUAAGGCGGCAGUCUUGAAAACUGCUGAGGGCUUGCGUCCUCCGGGGGUUCGAAUCCUCUCCCAUCCG